RNAcentral lists this long non-coding RNA (310 nucleotides) under Mytilus galloprovincialis (Mediterranean mussel). The record is from RNAcentral. Lineage: Eukaryota; Metazoa; Mollusca; Bivalvia; Mytilida; Mytilidae.
AUUCUUUUACAAUUAAAUUUCAAAAAUGACAUUUUACCGAUCGCGCCUCUCCUAAAAUCGCCUAGCUCUGCUUUAUAUAUAACGUCCCAUUUUUUCUAAAUUUUUCAUAUAGCUGGGUCUGAUUUUACAAAAUAAAGAGUAAUGAGCUUGAACUACAUAAUCCACAAAGAAUAACAAAGAAGAGUGAAAAAGGUCGCAAAACAUAAAGAAUAGAUAAAAAGUGGGCCCAUACAAUGACAAAUAGAGAAUUAUGGUGUGCUAAUUAUAAAGAAUAGAUAAAAAUAUAGAAAAUAAAUGUAAAGAAUAGACA